Molecule: small RNA, 29 nt
Filed under: Bombyx mori (domestic silkworm)
Lineage: Eukaryota; Metazoa; Arthropoda; Insecta; Lepidoptera; Bombycidae
Description: ovarian small RNA-14708
Source: RNAcentral
CUCUUCUAAUUUUAGCCUCCAGCGUUGGA